This 83-nucleotide unclassified non-coding RNA is filed under the name Pseudomonas jessenii. The record is from RNAcentral. Lineage: Bacteria; Pseudomonadati; Pseudomonadota; Gammaproteobacteria; Pseudomonadales; Pseudomonadaceae.
UGUAGGAGCGAGCUUGCUCGCGAUGGAGUGUCAGACACAUCGAUUUCGACUGAAAUUCCAUCGCGAGCAAGCUCGCUCCUACA